RNAcentral lists this ribosomal RNA (434 nucleotides) under uncultured bacterium. RNAcentral's name for it is "partial 16S ribosomal RNA". It matches the Rfam family "Bacterial small subunit ribosomal RNA", at positions 29 to 507 of the family's 1533-position model. The record is from RNAcentral.
AGCGAACGCUGGCGGCAUGCCUAACACAUGCAAGUCGAACGAACCGUUCGGGGUUAGUGGCGGACGGGUGUGUAACACGAGGGAACGGUCCCUUAGGGACGGAAUAACUCAGGGAAACGGGUGCUAAUACCGAACGUGCCCUUCGGGGGAAAGAUUUAUCGCCUUUAGAGCGGCCCGCGUCUGAUUAGCUAGUUGGUUGAGGUAAUGGCUCACCAAGGCGACGUUCAGUAGCUGGUCUGAGAGGAUGAUCAGCCACAUUGGGACUGGGACACGGCCCAAACUCCUACGGGAGGCAGCAGUGGGGAAUGUUGCGCAAUGGGCGAAAGCCUGACGCAGCCAUGCCGCGUGAAUGAUGAAGGUCUUAGGAUUGUAAAAUUCUUUCAACGGGGACGAUAAUGACGGUACCCGGAGAAGAAGCCCCGGCUAACUACGUG